ACUGUGCUCUGCACAGCUAAGCCACACUGAGAGGCUACGAUGAACACACCUGACAACUGUCUGGACGUGUACCUGAACCAGAGCCACAUGGACCGAGGGACAGGAACAGGCAGUGCAGCUAAGUGUCUUUAGGUUAUGACCAAAUGUGAAGUUGGAAACACAUGUCAAUGAAGCAGUGCCAUGCUGACAAAAUACAUCAGCAGUCAGUGGUUGAGCUGGAUUCAGACAUAUUAACGACUCCAUCAACACUUAGCUGUGCUCUGCACAGCUAAGCCACACUGAGAGUCUAUGACAACUACACCUGACAACUGUCUGGACCUGUACCUGAACCAGAGCCACAUGGACCCAGGGACAGGAAAAGGCAGUGCAGCUACAUGCUUUUUACUCAACAUUCAUUCCUAAUCUUCAGAUGGACCCAGACCGUCUUUAAGUAUCGUAUAUAGGCUAGGUUGUGAAUAGAGUUGAAACUUGUUGACUAUUAAAUUUGUACUUGUUUUCUAAAACUGUUUGUAAUGAAGUGCUUUGAGUUUUUCUGUUUGCCCCAAUGCCCCAUUGUAACAUUUAUAAUGCAAUUUUUCUCCACUACAGCUAAUGCUGCGCUGAGAGAGUCUGAGAGUCCUGAACGGCCAGCCGUCCUGGUAGGGGAUCCUGCAAAGACUCGGCCUACCUGAAGGUUUCUUCCUUUUUUCCCGAAUAAGGGUUUUUUAGGGAGUUUUUCCUGACAUGCUUUGCAGGUCGAAGGCUGAAGACUCAAAGAACAGCGAGAUAUCUUUUACACCUGAAUCCAGCUAUUUUUCCCUUUUUCAUUUUGUUAUUUCUUUUCCCAUGACAACGGGCUAUAACCAUGAAGCUUAAAUUUGCAAUGAUUAUUUAUAUACAUUUUCGAUGGACUCCACACAAUGCACCUGUUGUGCAAAAUGUUUUAUUUUCAUGCUUAUA
Epinephelus moara (kelp grouper) is the source of this 939-nucleotide long non-coding RNA. RefSeq lists it as uncharacterized. The record is from RefSeq and is a predicted model, not a curated record. The transcript has 4 exons. NCBI's taxonomy places the organism in Eukaryota, Metazoa, Chordata, Actinopteri, Perciformes, Serranidae.